Anguilla anguilla (European eel) is the source of this 279-nucleotide long non-coding RNA. RefSeq lists it as uncharacterized. The transcript has 3 exons. The record is from RefSeq and is a predicted model, not a curated record. Lineage: Eukaryota; Metazoa; Chordata; Actinopteri; Anguilliformes; Anguillidae.
GGGGAACUCAUGUUACCACCAAGAACUCCCUGUAGUUAAGGAACAGAGAGCAUGGAAAAAAAGGAACACAGGAGCUGAGUAUCGGAGAUUAUCAGAAGCGUUUCGUCUGCGUGGAUUCCCUGUUGAACAGGACAAGGCGUACAGCCAACACUGACAGAGGAGCCGGACGGACGGACGGACGGACGGACGGACUGAACCUGUAUGCAGACGGCGAUGAGCAGGCAGGUCUGCGCCAGGAUGGCGAAGGACUGGUAGUCGGCGAUGUCCUUGCCGUCGUAG